GGGCAAUUAACUCAGCUGGUAUGAGUACCACCUUGACAUGGUGGGAGUCACAGGUUCGAGUCCUGUAUUGCCCACCA
This 77-nucleotide transfer RNA is filed under the name Bacillota bacterium. Its description in RNAcentral is "tRNA-Val". It matches the Rfam family "tRNA". Rfam says of the family: Transfer RNA (tRNA) molecules are approximately 80 nucleotides in length. Their secondary structure includes four short double-helical elements and three loops (D, anti-codon, and T loops). Further hydrogen bonds mediate the characteristic L-shaped molecular structure. tRNAs have two regions of fundamental functional importance: the anti-codon, which is responsible for specific mRNA codon recognition, and the 3' end, to which the tRNAs corresponding amino acid is attached (by aminoacyl-tRNA synthetases). tRNAs cope with the degeneracy of the genetic code in two manners: having more than one tRNA (with a specific anti-codon) for a particular amino acid; and 'wobble' base-pairing, i.e. permitting non-standard base-pairing at the 3rd anti-codon position. The record is from RNAcentral. Lineage: Bacteria; Bacillati; Bacillota.